UACGGAGGGUGCAAGCGUUGUCCGGAAUCAUUGGGUGUAAAGGGUGCGUAGGCGGGAGCUUAAGUCUGGGGUGAAAUCUUGCCGCUUAACGGUAAAAUGGCCUUAGAUACUGGGUUUCUUGAGUGUAGAAGAGGUAAGUGGAAUUCGUAGUGUAGCGGUGAAAUGCAUAGAUAUUACGAAGAACAUCAGUGGCGAAGGCGGCUUACUGGUCUACAACUGACGCUGAGGCACGAAAGCGUGGGGAGCGAACAGG
This 253-nucleotide ribosomal RNA is filed under the name uncultured bacterium. RNAcentral's name for it is "partial 16S ribosomal RNA". It matches the Rfam family "Bacterial small subunit ribosomal RNA", at positions 524 to 776 of the family's 1533-position model. The record is from RNAcentral.